RNAcentral lists this ribosomal RNA (403 nucleotides) under uncultured bacterium. RNAcentral's name for it is "partial 16S ribosomal RNA". It matches the Rfam family "Bacterial small subunit ribosomal RNA", at positions 30 to 526 of the family's 1533-position model. The record is from RNAcentral.
AUUGAACGCUGGCGGCAGGCCUAACACAUGCAAGUCGAGCGAGCGGCGGAAGGGGGAGUAAUGUAUGGGGACUGCACGAGAGAGGGGGAUAACUACUGGAAACGGUAGCUAAUACAGCAUACGAUCGGAUAACCCAUAUGGGAUUAGAUAGUAGGUGAGGGAAUGGCUCACCUAGGCGACGAUCCCUAGCUGGUCUGAGAGGAUGAUCAGCCACACUGGGACUGAGACACUGCCCAGACUCCUACGGAGGCAGCAGUUGGUAAUAUUGCACAAUGGGCGCAAGCCUGAUGCAGCCAUGCCGCGUGUAUGAAGAAGGCCCUAGGUUUGUAAAGUACUUUCAGUCGGGAGGCGUUACCCACAGAAGAAGCACCGGCUAACUCCGUGCCAGCAGCCGCGGUAAUAC